This is a non-coding RNA of Equus caballus (horse), 52 nucleotides long. The record is from Rfam. Lineage: Eukaryota; Metazoa; Chordata; Mammalia; Perissodactyla; Equidae.
UUUUUAGUGUAAGUAUGUCCCAUGCAAUAUUUAGGACAUGCUUAUACUAAAA